GAGUAUCGAUAGUGUGGCGGUAGGCGUGCGACGUGUUAAUACACCACCACUCUCCUCCAACCCAAAUUUCUGAAAGGAAAUCUGACUGGAAAGGUACUUUAGAGAGGUAGUUUUUUGAUUUUCCCACAAGUUUUCUCAACAAAUGGGAAAAACUUAGAAAAAAAGGGAAAAUCGGUAAAAUAUUAAACAAAUAUUAUUAAUAGUAUGUCCGUCUUUUGUCCAUAUGUUGACGUAGCUUUAAGAGCAUUGUUAGGUUUAGGAGCAUUACCCAAAUUGCACACAGUUCCUGUGUAAUUUGGCCUCCAAUUGUUCGACAGAAAGGUCAUUUUCUACACUUCGUCAAAUAAAAAAUUAUUUAAGACCAUCUAUGUCUU
This is a non-coding RNA of Cinara cedri, 374 nucleotides long. The record is from the annotation of a GenBank genome assembly. NCBI's taxonomy places the organism in Eukaryota, Metazoa, Arthropoda, Insecta, Hemiptera, Aphididae.